ACAUUGUACCUGUCGGAGCUUCGGUCGGUUUUUGUAUUCUCGCGAGAACUCGUGUCUUCAAACUUUCCCAUGAGCCUUUUCGCUCCCUCUUUCUAGCCGGCGCCUGAGAAUGGGUAUCUCAAGGGACAACUGGCAUAAACGCCGCAAGACCGGUGGUAAACGCAAGCCCUAUCACAAGAAGAGGAAGUAUGAGCUCGGACGCCCUCCUGCAAACACAAAAAUUGGGCCUCGCCGUAUCCACACAGUGAGGGUGCGAGGUGGCAACAAGAAAUACCGCGCUCUGAGGUUGGACAGCGGAAACUUCUCAUGGGGCUCGGAGUGCUGUACACGCAAGACCAGAAUCAUUGAUGUGGUCUACAACGCCUCCAACAACGAGCUGGUCAGAACCAAGACCCUGGUGAAGAACUGUGUGGUCCUGGUGGACAGCCUUCCCUUCAGGCAGUGGUAUGAAGCUCACUAUGCCACUCCUCUGGGACGCAAGAAAGGAGCCAAACUGACUCCUGACGAGGAGGAGGUUCUGAACAAGAAAAGGUCAAAGAAGACCCAGAAGAAAUACGAUGAGCGUAAAAAAGUGGCCAAGAUCAGCCCUCUGCUUGAGGAGCAGUUCUUGCAGGGAAAGCUGCUCGGUAAGUUCUGUCUCUGCUAUUGUCAUCGACUCCAAAAUAAGAACGAUGUGUUUGGAAGUUUAUCAAAGACAACCCCAUUUAAUUUGAAAUGGUUUAUUUCAAACAAUCCAAGCAAGAAUAAUGCACAAAACGAUCCGAUCCAUAGAUUUAUACUUGGACGUAUCAAAUUUAGGAUAAUUAGACAUUUCCAUGGAUCAUGAGUUCAUGGGAAGAGUUCAUUGGUGGCUGUCCUCAGCUUUGGAUUGUACAGUAUUUUUUUGUUUUUAUUUUGUCCUGGUGCUGAAAACAUAAACCAUAAAGGGACGAGACAAAAACUUUUAAGUAGCGUUUUCCUUAACGGUGCAGGCGUUUCUUACAGCAAGCAUCUUGCUACUGGUUUGUACAUCAACCAUUUUCCGAUUAAUCAGCUGAUUCUGAAUCCAUGGGAAUAACAUUAACUGCAUAAAUGUUCAAAGUUUCAGCAAUCGAAAGAAUGUCAAGACAGAAGCCAAAGCUCCGCUGUUAAGAGACGUUUUUGUUUCAAACCAUAAAGCUAACAAAGUUCAGAUUAAACAUCAUUAAAAGUCAUAAUCAACAGCAGUAUUGGCAUUUAUAUUGAUGCCUGUAACACCUGAACACCUUUGUUUUUGCUCCACAGCUUGCAUUGCUUCUAGGCCUGGCCAGUGUGGCAGGGCAGACGGCUACGUCCUGGAAGGCAAGGAACUGGAGUUCUACCUGAGGAAGAUCAAGGCCAAGAAAGG
Non-coding RNA from Oryzias latipes (Japanese medaka), 1366 nucleotides. NCBI's taxonomy places the organism in Eukaryota, Metazoa, Chordata, Actinopteri, Beloniformes, Adrianichthyidae. The record is from RefSeq and is a predicted model, not a curated record.